RNAcentral lists this long non-coding RNA (276 nucleotides) under Mytilus galloprovincialis (Mediterranean mussel). The record is from RNAcentral. Lineage: Eukaryota; Metazoa; Mollusca; Bivalvia; Mytilida; Mytilidae.
CUGGGUUUUUUUUUUGGCACUAUCGUUUGUCUAAUUCUUUUUAAGCCAUGACGUUGUCGGUUUAUUUUCGACUUUUGGGUUUUAAUGUCGCUCUCGUGCAAGGAUACUUUUUUCUUGCACAGAUCAGAGACAUAUAAUACAAUAUGUCUCUGCACAGAUGUAACAUACUAAAAUUUGAAAAACUAUUUCAGUUAAAAAUAAAAAAUAAGUUGAAAAAGCUUUGCAAAUUCAUCAGGGUUAUAACUUUUCAAGUGAGUCUUCCUGGUUAAUCACCAC